GACAGAGGGUGCAAACGUUGCUCGGAAUUACUGGGCGUAAAGCGCGUGCAGGCGGACCACCAAGUCGGACGUGAAAGCCCUGAGCUCAACUCAGGAACUGCAUCCGAAACUGGCGGUCUGGAGUAGUGGAGAGGAAAGCAGAAUUCCUGGUGUAGAGGUGAAAUUCGUAGAUAUCAGGAGGAACACCGGUGGCGAAGGCGGCUUUCUGGACACUUACUGACGCUGAGACGCGAAAGCGUGGGGAGCAAACAGG
This 253-nucleotide ribosomal RNA is filed under the name uncultured bacterium. RNAcentral's name for it is "partial 16S ribosomal RNA". It matches the Rfam family "Bacterial small subunit ribosomal RNA", at positions 524 to 776 of the family's 1533-position model. The record is from RNAcentral.